RNAcentral lists this ribosomal RNA (434 nucleotides) under uncultured bacterium. RNAcentral's name for it is "partial 16S ribosomal RNA". It matches the Rfam family "Bacterial small subunit ribosomal RNA", at positions 29 to 507 of the family's 1533-position model. The record is from RNAcentral.
AGCGAACGCUGGCGGCAGGCCUAACACAUGCAAGUCGAACGAACCUUUCGGGGUUAGUGGCGGACGGGUGGUUAACACGUGGGAACGUGCCUUUAGGUUCGGAAUAACUCAGGGAAACUUGUGCUAAUACCGAAUGUGCCCUUCGGGGGAAAGAUUUAUCGCCUUUAGAGCGGCCCGCGUCUGAUUAGCUAGUUGGUUGAGGUAAUGGCUCACCAAGGCGACGAUCAGUAGCUGGGCUGAGAGGAUGAUCAGCCACAUUGGGACUGAGACACGGCCCAAACUCCUACGGGAGGCAGCAGUGGGGAAUCUUGCGCAAUGGGCGAAAGCCUGACGCAGCCAUGCCGCGUGAAUGAUGAAGGUCUUAGGAUUGUAAAAUUCUUUCACCGGGGACGAUAAUGACGGUACCCGGAGAAGAAGCCCCGGCUAACUUCGUG